RNAcentral lists this ribosomal RNA (497 nucleotides) under uncultured bacterium. RNAcentral's name for it is "partial 16S ribosomal RNA". It matches the Rfam family "Bacterial small subunit ribosomal RNA", at positions 28 to 507 of the family's 1533-position model. The record is from RNAcentral.
GACGAACGCUGGCGGCGUGCCUAAUACAUGCAAGUUGAGCGCUGAAGGUUGGUACUUGUACCAACUGGAUGAGCAGCGAACGGGUGAGUAACGCGUGGGGAAUCUGCCUUUGAGCGGGGGACAACAUUUGGAAACGAAUGCUAAUACCGCAUAAAAACUUUAAACACAAGUUUUAAGUUUGAAAGAUGCAAUUGCAUCACUCAAAGAUGAUCCCGCGUUGUAUUAGCUAGUUGGUGAGGUAAAGGCUCACCAAGGCGAUGAUACAUAGCCGACCUGAGAGGGUGAUCGGCCACAUUGGGACUGAGACACGGCCCAAACGCCUACGGGAGGCAGCAGUAGGGAAUCUUCGGCAAUGGACGAAAGUCUGACCGAGCAACGCCGCGGGAGUGAAGAAGGUUUUCGGAUCGUAAAACUCUGUUGGUAGAGAAGAACGUUGGUGAGAGUGGAAAGCUCAUCAAGUGACGGUAACUACCCAGAAAGUGACGGCUAACUACGUG